This is a long non-coding RNA of Mesocricetus auratus (golden hamster), 186 nucleotides long. RefSeq lists it as uncharacterized. The record is from RefSeq and is a predicted model, not a curated record. Lineage: Eukaryota; Metazoa; Chordata; Mammalia; Rodentia; Cricetidae. The transcript has 2 exons.
GGGAGAUGGCUGGGCAGAGAGAGGAGGCAGGAGGAAACAGGAACUGAGUCUCUUUUCCACUGGAAGCUAGUGAGAUUCUGGACAAAUGCCUGUGAGUAACACAGAUGGAAUCCAUGCCUGCAGCAAAUCUCUCCUGUUUUGGAAGAUGGGCAGUGAAUAAAUCAAAUAAAGCAAUGUGGAAAGUCA